Molecule: non-coding RNA, 81 nt
Filed under: Pseudictyota dubia
Lineage: Eukaryota; Bacillariophyta; Thalassiosirophyceae; Eupodiscales; Odontellaceae
Source: RNAcentral
AGGAGCAAAUCGCCGAGUUCAAGGAGGCUUUCUCCCUGUUCGACAAGGACGGUGAUGGAACAAUCACCACCAAGGAGCUUG